UGUCACUUACCCAAGCUCCUCUCUCUCCAUGAUCUACCUGUUGCUUCUGGUUCCCUGUGGCUUCCUUUGCAAUCCUCCAGACAGAAAACUAAGGUUUCAUCUGCCCUGCUUUUCUUCACACUCGCCACAGCUACAAUCAUAUUUCAGGUGGUGAAAUUAUCUUCAGAUUAAGUGACUUGCUUUGUGGCUGACAACUGCUUCCAGAUGGAUGGGGACAUGUGACUGACCUAAUGAGUGUAAAUCUGCUGGGAGCUAAUGGAAAUAAGAGGGUCCCCUGUCUGAUUCACCUAACAAUUUUGUUUUCUGAACCCUUUAUUUAAGCCUUAGUUUAAGGCUCUUAUUUUGAGGGAACCCAGGCCAAAACAGUAUCUUUCAACCUAGCAGAAGAUUAGGUAUUCACGCUUUGGAAAGAAUGCACCAAAUAGACUCCAGUCACAGUGGAGAGAAAAGUGAGCUUUUAUCCAGAAGACAGGAGAUUUACAUGAAAGUCAACAUGAUGAAUGGUGAAACUGCAGUUUGUUUCCGUGACCAGGUAGCAGAAUCUAUCAUCUGGGCUCGUACACUCUAUACGGAGGAUGGAAGAAUUUAUUUGGAGAGAGGAUCUCUUUAUGACCAGAUAAAGGAAAAAUGCCUACAGAUAUUGACAGUGUGGAAUCCCCUACAACACUGGCCAAAUCCUGCUCAGUCAUCCUACAGUGAAACUCAUGAGUUAGCAAGGCCUCCUCUUGUACACUGUAGGGCCUGGGCCUUGCUUGCUCAGCAAGAGCCCACAAGCCCAUUGCAAACAUGUGUCCUUCUGGCCCUCUUCUGGGCAGGACGCCAAACCUCUGGGAUUUGUAACAAUCCAGGGCCUGGCCAGCCUGGGUCUUACCUUAUCUCACUCAAAGAACAUCAUGUCUAGAAGGAACACAGAGCCCCUUCAUGUGAACUACUAUUCCUGGGAAUGCUGGUGUACCAGGGACAGCCCCUCUCGGCAAGCGUAUAGCCUUCGUGCCCUCUGCCUAUAUAAGCAACCCCCUCCCCGCCUGCAGUUGCGGGUGCACAUUUCCGUCCAGCUGGCUGCCACUGGACAUUCCCUCUAAAUAACAACAAAUAAAGCCAUGUGUCUUGUUCCCCAUCUCCGUAUCUUUUCUUUGGUUUUUCCACAACAUAUCCUGCACUGCUUUCCCAAUUGGGUGUGCGCCCAGACACACACAUACCUUUCAGUCAGCUUUUUAGUGAAAUUCUCAAGUAGAAAUGGACAGAAACAGGUUGCUAAGUAGCAACACAAAGUGUCUAAUGUGACAAACAGGUUAAAACCAACAAGAAAAUAGUAAAAAUGAAUAUGGAAGAGUCUAGGCAAAAUAGGAUGCCCAUGGGAAAAAAUACUCUAAAUAAAAUUUCCUAAUCCUAAUAUGUAA
This 1400-nucleotide long non-coding RNA is filed under the name Equus asinus (donkey). RNAcentral describes it as "lncRNA (ENSEASG00005038192.1)". Lineage: Eukaryota; Metazoa; Chordata; Mammalia; Perissodactyla; Equidae. The record is from RNAcentral.